UACGUAGGUGGCGAGCGUUGUCCGGAUUUAUUGGGUUUAAAGGGUGCGUAGGCGGCUUUGUAAGUCAGUGGUGAAAUACUCCAGCUUAACUGGAGGGGUGCCAUUGAUACUGCGGAGCUUGAGUACAGAUGAGGUAGGCGGAAUUGACGGUGUAGCGGUGAAAUGCAUAGAUAUCGUCAAGAACACCGAUAGCGAAGGCAGCUUACUGGGCUGUAACUGACGCUGAUGCACGAAAGUGUGGGGAGUCAAACAGGA
This 255-nucleotide ribosomal RNA is filed under the name uncultured bacterium. Its description in RNAcentral is "partial 16S ribosomal RNA". It matches the Rfam family "Bacterial small subunit ribosomal RNA", at positions 524 to 777 of the family's 1533-position model. The record is from RNAcentral.